AUGGGCAGGUUUUUCCAAGUGGCUGCAAGUGAUGAGAUUUCACCCAUUUCUAUGAUUGAAGAAUAUUCUGCUCUGUAUGUAUAUUGCAGUUUCCUCAUCCCUUCAUCAAUGGAUGAACAGUCUAUCAUUGAUGGGCAUGUGGGUUGGUCCCAUGCCUUUCCUAUUGUGAAUAAUGCUGUAAAAAACAUACGUGGAGCAGAUGGUGCUCAGAGCAAGAUGGGCCUCUGAGCAAGAUGGAGCUCCAAGCAUGAUGGAGCUUGGAUAGAGCAGAUAGAGCUCCAGGGGAGAUGGAGCUCUGAGCAGUAUGAACCUCACAGCAGAUGGACCUCUGAACAAGAUGGAGCUUCAAGCAUGAUUGAGCUUGGAUGGAGCAGAUGAAACUCCAGGUGAGAUGGAGCUCUGAGCAUUAUGAACCUCACAGCAGAUGUUAUGCAGAGUAACAUGGAGCUCCAAGCAUAUGGUCUCAGGGCAAAAUGGAGCUCAGAGCAGAUGGUGCUCAGAGCAGGAUGGAGCUUGGAGUGACUAGAGCUCCAACCU
Molecule: long non-coding RNA, 537 nt
Filed under: Callithrix jacchus (white-tufted-ear marmoset)
Lineage: Eukaryota; Metazoa; Chordata; Mammalia; Primates; Cebidae
Description: lncRNA (ENSCJAG00000070793.1)
Source: RNAcentral